This 242-nucleotide unclassified non-coding RNA is filed under the name Hevea brasiliensis (rubber tree). The record is from RNAcentral. Lineage: Eukaryota; Viridiplantae; Streptophyta; Magnoliopsida; Malpighiales; Euphorbiaceae.
GAAAAGAAAAAAAAAAAAAAAACAUUAAGAGAACUUUGACAUUAUUAGCAAACCGAUUUCUAUCUCACUUUUGCUUCUCACGUACUUCCUGUUGUGGUUCCAUGCUAAGUUUAUUUGAGUAUCCUUCAGCAUAUUUGAUAUCAUUGAAAUAUUAAUUUUCUGCGUCAUGCUGUUCACAAAAUCUGUUCAACAUUGAUAUUGCUGUUUUAUGCUUUUUCCAUUAUUACUUUUGAGAAAGUAAA